This 496-nucleotide ribosomal RNA is filed under the name uncultured bacterium. RNAcentral describes it as "bacterial SSU rRNA". It matches the Rfam family "Bacterial small subunit ribosomal RNA", at positions 899 to 1397 of the family's 1533-position model. The record is from RNAcentral.
ACUCAAAGGAAUUGACGGGGGCCCGCACAAGCGGUGGAGUAUGUGGCUUAAUUCGAUGCAACGCGAAGAACCUUACCUGGCCUUGACAUGCAUUAGACCGGCUCUGAAAGGAGCCUUUCCUUCGGGACUGGUGCACAGGUGCUGCAUGGCUGUCGUCAGCUCGUGUCGUGAGAUGUUGCGUUAAGUCGCGCAACGAGCGCAACCCCUGUCCUUAGUUGCCAGCAUUCAGUUGGGCACUCUAGGGAGACAAACCCUCUCUGAGGGUGGGAAGGUGGGGAUGACGUCAAGUCAGGAUGGCCCUUACGGCCAGGGCUGCACACGUACUACAAUGCCCGAUACAGAGGGAUGCAAGACCGCGAGGUGGAGCAAAUCCUGAAAAUCGGGCCCAGUUCGGAUUGUAGUCUGCAACUCGACUACAUGAAGUUGGAAUCGCUAGUAAUGGCGCAUCAGCUACGGCGCCGUGAAUACGUUCCCGGGCCUUGUACACACCGCCCGU